UGAUGACGUUCCUCCUAUUGCCUAGAGCGUUGGCACUGGGAUUUUAGGUCAUCAUAAAUUAAACUUGAUUUUCUUCACUCAGAGAAUGUUAGAUAAUGGGAUUAUCGGUUUAUUCUCAGAUAUUUGCGGAAUCAGACACUU
Small nucleolar RNA from Suncus etruscus (white-toothed pygmy shrew), 141 nucleotides. RefSeq annotates it as small nucleolar RNA SNORA79. Lineage: Eukaryota; Metazoa; Chordata; Mammalia; Eulipotyphla; Soricidae. The transcript has a single exon. The record is from RefSeq and is a predicted model, not a curated record.